UACGGAGGGUGCGAGCGUUGUCCGGAAUUACUGGGCGUAAAGGGCUCGUAGGUGGUUUUUUGAGUCGGCUGUGAAAUUCCGGGGCUUAACUCCGGGCGUGCAGUGGAUACUGGGAAUCUGGAGUGCUGUAGGGGAGGCUGGAAUUCCUCGUGUAGCGGUGAAAUGCGUAGAUAUCAGGAGGAACACCGAUGGCGAAGGCAGGUCUCUGGGCAGUUACUGACACUGAGGAGCGAAAGCAUGGGUAGCGAACAGG
This 253-nucleotide ribosomal RNA is filed under the name uncultured bacterium. Its description in RNAcentral is "partial 16S ribosomal RNA". It matches the Rfam family "Bacterial small subunit ribosomal RNA", at positions 524 to 776 of the family's 1533-position model. The record is from RNAcentral.